This 497-nucleotide ribosomal RNA is filed under the name uncultured bacterium. Its description in RNAcentral is "partial 16S ribosomal RNA". It matches the Rfam family "Bacterial small subunit ribosomal RNA", at positions 28 to 507 of the family's 1533-position model. The record is from RNAcentral.
GACGAACGCUGGCGGCGUGCCUAAUACAUGCAAGUAGAACGCUGAAGAGAGGAGCUUACUCUUCCUGGAUGAGUUGCGAACGGGUGAGUAACGCGUAGGUAACCUGCCUUGUAGCGGGGGAUAACUAUUGGAAACGAUAGCUAAUACCGCAUAACAAUGGAUGACACAUGUCAUUUAUUUGAAAGGGGCAAUUGCUCCACUACAAGAUGGACCUGCGUUGUAUUAGCUAGUAGGUGAGGUAAUGGCUCACCUAGGCGACGAUACAUAGCCGACCUGAGAGGGUGAUCGGCCACACUGGGACUGAGACACGGCCCAGACUCCUACGGGAGGCAGCAGUAGGGAAUCUUCGGCAAUGGGGGCAACCCUGACCGAGCAACGCCGCGUGAGUGAAGAAGGUUUUCGGAUCGUAAAGCUCUGUUGUAAGUCAAGAACGGGUGUGAGAGUGGAAAGUUCACACUGUGACGGUAGCUUACCAGAAAGGGACGGCUAACUACGUG